This 563-nucleotide ribosomal RNA is filed under the name Microbotryum scabiosae. RNAcentral's name for it is "eukaryotic LSU rRNA". It matches the Rfam family "Eukaryotic large subunit ribosomal RNA", at positions 88 to 647 of the family's 3401-position model. Lineage: Eukaryota; Fungi; Basidiomycota; Microbotryomycetes; Microbotryales; Microbotryaceae. The record is from RNAcentral.
GGCGAGUGAAGCGGGAAAAGCUCAAAUUUGUAAUCUGGCGCCUUCGGUGUCCGAGUUGUAAUCUCGAGAAGUAUUUUUCCGCGCUGGACCGCACAUAAGUCUGUUGGAAUACAGCGUCAUAGUGGUGAGAACCCCGUAUAUGGUGCGGAUGCCCAGUGCUUUGUGAUAUACUUUCGAAGAGUCGAGUUGUUUGGGAAUGCAGCUCAAAUUGGGUGGUAAAUUCCAUCUAAAGCUAAAUAUUGGCGAGAGACCGAUAGCGAACAAGUACCGUGAGGGAAAGAUGAAAAGCACUUUGGAAAGAGAGUUAACAGUACGUGAAAUUGUUGGAAGGGAAACGCUUGAAGUCAGACUUGCAUUUUGGAGUUCAGCCGCAAGGUGUAUUCUUCAAAUCGCAGGCCAGCAUCAGUUUUUGGGGGUGGAAAAUCGCGGUUUGAAGGUAGCAGUCUCGGCUGUGUUAUAGCUUUCCGCUGGAUUCACUUUUGGGGACUGAGGAACGCAGUACGCUUUUUGCAAGACUCUAGAGUCUUCCGUACUUAGGAUGCUGGUGGAAUGGCUUUAAACGA